RNAcentral lists this ribosomal RNA (253 nucleotides) under uncultured prokaryote. RNAcentral's name for it is "partial 16S ribosomal RNA". It matches the Rfam family "Bacterial small subunit ribosomal RNA", at positions 524 to 776 of the family's 1533-position model. The record is from RNAcentral.
UACAGAGGUGGCAAGCGUUGUUCGGAAUUACUGGGCGUAAAGGGCGCGUAGGCGGCCAUCUAAGUCAGACGUGAAAUCCCCCGGCUUAACCUGGGAACUGCGUCUGAUACUGGAAGGCUGGAGUUUGGGAGAGGGAUGUGGAAUUCCAGGUGUAGCGGUGAAAUGCGUAGAUAUCUGGAGGAACACCGGUGGCGAAGGCGGCAUCCUGGACCAACACUGACGCUGAGGCGCGAAAGCUAGGGGAGCAAACGGG